RNAcentral lists this non-coding RNA (858 nucleotides) under Penaeus notialis. Lineage: Eukaryota; Metazoa; Arthropoda; Malacostraca; Decapoda; Penaeidae. The record is from RNAcentral.
AAAAGUUUUAUCCUAGCUGGUUCUUUCAUUAUUAGGUUAAUGGCACAUGUAAAAUUUAAUGAGCCAAUGUAAUUUAUACAAGCUAGAGGAGUAUGAAUUAGAAAGAGGUAGGGGCCUCCGUUGAAUAGUAAAGUCUCAGUGCCUGGUACUAAUUAAAUAAAUGUAAGUUGGAAUUGAUGAUCCUAAUAACACACCUGGCUAAAAUUUGUGCCAGCAGCCGCGGUUAUACUGAGAGGUGGAUUGAAAGAAAGUUGGUUAAAAAUAGUUAAAUGUUAAUGACUAAGAACUUUUUAGAGGUUUGUACCGAUAAAGGGUGAAAUCAAUUUUUUGGUAUACAAAAAUCUAAUAUUUUUAGUUGAAAUUGAAGCUAUUAAAAUAAAGGAAUGAACCAGGAUUAGAUACCCUGUUACACUUUAUGUAAAUUAUAACAUUACCUGGGUAUUAAACAGUAAUUGUCUUGAAACUCAAAGGAUUUGGCGGUAAUUUAGUCUAUUUAGAGGAACCUGUCCUGUAAUCGAUAGUCCAACGAGAAAAUCUUACUUUGUCUGGUAGAAAACAGUUUGUAUACCGUCAUUAUUAGAUAACUUUAAUAAAAUAUAAAGUUGUUGCAAGAGUUUAGCUAAUAUAUUAGAUCAAGGUGCAGCUUAUGAUAAAGGAAGAGAUGGGUUACAAUAUGACAAAUAUAAACGGAGUAAUAAGUGAAUACUUGUUGCUGAAGGUGGAUUUAAAAGUAAGAAGAUUUUAAUAAGAUCUUUUGACUCUAGCUCUAGGUUAUGUACACAUCGCCCGUCGCUCUCGUUAAUUAAAGCGAGAUAAGUCGUAACAUAGUAGGUGUACUGGAAAGUGUACCUAGAAAUU